Aethalodelphis obliquidens (Pacific white-sided dolphin) is the source of this 344-nucleotide long non-coding RNA. RefSeq lists it as uncharacterized. The record is from RefSeq and is a predicted model, not a curated record. NCBI's taxonomy places the organism in Eukaryota, Metazoa, Chordata, Mammalia, Artiodactyla, Delphinidae. The transcript has 2 exons.
GGCAUCGCCUCCAUUCAGUGACAUCAGCCCGGCUGCCAUCCCGGCACAGCAGCUCGAAGUUCUGUGACAGCAGCGGCUGGCCCCAGGAGGGCAGGGUUUUCCCUGGGAAGAUGGGAAGCCUGUGACCCACAGUGAAAAGAAACCCUUACGGGAGGUGAGAACCAGAGCCACACCAAGAAGUGAGAACCCAGAACCGCACCAGGAGGUGAGACCAGAACUUAGAAUGAAGAGGAGCUUGGUGGCUGCACCGCACAAAACCAGGUGUCUCUGUGGACUGUGUCUAUUCACUUACCUUUUUUAUGUGUCACCAAUUUCUAGUAAUAAAAUGGAUUUGAGAUCUCUGA